AUGCAUGUUGCCUCGCCGGACGAGUGGAGGAACUGGGCGUCGUUGCCCGGCGACGUCCUAUGCAUCAUCCUCAGCAAACUCCCGCAGACCGACAUCCUCAGCGGCGCAGGGCUCGCGUGCUCGCCCUGGCGGCGGCUAGUCAAGGAUGUGCCCCUACUGUGGCGGCACAUCGACCUACGUCCCGAUCCAUGGGACGAAGAGCACGAAGAGUACUACUGCUCGUGGGACGAACUGCCACUGCCGGCAGGAUGGAAGGCCAUGGCGCGCGCCGCGCUGGAGCGCAGCGCCGGCGGCUGCGAGUCAUUCAGCGGCCACGUCGACGCCGAUGUCCUAGUCUACCUCGCUAACAGGAACCGGCAACAGAUCAAUAAAUCUACCUAUCCUGACUAUCUCACUCCUAAUAUAAUCACCUGCAGGGCGCCAUUGCUGAGGAACCUCUACGUCACAGGCUGGCCUUACAUCGAUGACGGAAAGCUUAUCACGGAGAUCAUCAAGAAGCUCCCUCUGCUGGAGCGCCUCGUCAUGUCGGAUGGCUGUUUUCAGAUACAGCUACUCAACGCCCUCCUCGACCAUUGCCCACGCCUUGAGCUGCUGGAUGUCACUAAAUGUUGGCCCACGUUUAGGGACUGGGAAGAGCCUAUUUGCACGAGAAUACAGAACUGCACCAUCAAAGACCUCCGGCUGCCGGACGAUGUUUUGGAGUGA
RNAcentral lists this ribosomal RNA (705 nucleotides) under Triticum aestivum (bread wheat). Its description in RNAcentral is "partial small subunit ribosomal RNA". The record is from RNAcentral. Lineage: Eukaryota; Viridiplantae; Streptophyta; Magnoliopsida; Poales; Poaceae.